Molecule: long non-coding RNA, 679 nt
Filed under: Populus tremula
Lineage: Eukaryota; Viridiplantae; Streptophyta; Magnoliopsida; Malpighiales; Salicaceae
Description: long non-coding RNA (PTRE_LNC002029)
Source: RNAcentral
GUGAGCUAAUAUUCCUGGGCGAAUCUGGGUGUAGUGUAGGGAGAGUUUCUUUGCUCUAUAUUCCUUACUUUCCUGUUUUCCCGGUUUUGAAAGAGAAAAUCAUUGCAUUUACUUUAAUUAGCCAUCCUUUGAAGCGCCAGAAGGAGCCCAGGGACAUCAGAAAGAAGAAUGCUUUGCACCGGUUUCCCUGUUUUGAGAGCGUGCUGUUGAGUCGUACAGCACGUAUAAGCAAGAGCUUCCCAGAAAAGAACGUUCUUUACAUAAAUUGCGCGAAGAUCGGAAUCGAAGGGCAAAUCAUCAGCUUGAUGCCCAUUCUUUGGACACGAAGUUACUUAUUUACUUAGAAAGAAGAAAGGCAUUUUUUUUUAUGAAUUAGCCAUCUUGGAAGGUCGAAAACCAUAUUCUCAUUCCCCCUUUUUAUCCAAUCGUUCUGAUAGGAGGUAGGCCUCGCCCUAAUUGGCAGUUGACUGACUGAAGUCAGGCAUCAUUCUUUUAUUUGUUCUCUUAUGAUAUUUCUUAACAAUUCACUCUGAUAGCAACUCUUUCACUCAUCCGAGUCAGGCUGGCUUAGCGGUUCUCCUGAAAGGGAUAGCGAAGUUAGGAAUCGACUGGGACCAGAGGAGGACCACUGAGCGAAGAAGACCGGGCAAUUAGUCCUUCAUCCCAUUAAGCUAUCUGA